This 406-nucleotide ribosomal RNA is filed under the name uncultured bacterium. RNAcentral's name for it is "partial 16S ribosomal RNA". It matches the Rfam family "Bacterial small subunit ribosomal RNA", at positions 30 to 526 of the family's 1533-position model. The record is from RNAcentral.
AUUGAACGCUGGCGGCAGGCUUAACACAUGCAAGUCGAGCGAGCGGCUUACGGGUGAGUAAUGUCUGGGAAACUGCCUGUUGGAGGGGGCUAACUCCUGGCAACGGUAGCUAAUACCGCAUACCAUCAUAUGUGCCCAGAUGGGAUUAGCUCGUAGGUGGGGUAAUGGCGCACCUAGGCGACGAUCCCUAGCUGGUCUGAGAGGAUGACAAGCCACACUGGAAAGGGGACACGGUCCAGACUCGUACGGGAGGCAGCAGUGGGGAAUAUUGAACAAUGGGAGCAAGCAUGAUGCAGCCAGGCCGCGUGUGUGAAGAAGGCAUUCGGGUUGUAAAGCACUUUCAGCGAGGAGGCGUUACUCGCAGAAGAAGCACAGGCUAACUCAGUGCCAGCAGCCGCGGUAAUAC